Long non-coding RNA from Dreissena polymorpha, 248 nucleotides. RefSeq lists it as uncharacterized. Lineage: Eukaryota; Metazoa; Mollusca; Bivalvia; Myida; Dreissenidae. The record is from RefSeq and is a predicted model, not a curated record. The transcript is spliced from 3 exons.
GUCGUUAAAGUUAUAACUAGAAUUCGGGAUUUGUUAUCAUCGUAACCAGAACAAUGUCGUCUGUUCGGAUGUUGGUUGUCCUCAUGGUUGUGUGCAUCCUCGCAGGGAGUUUAGUGCAGCAGACAGAAGCCCAGUGUCGUUGCGCAUGGUUCCGCUGUCGCAGGGGGAGCGAGUGUUACGUAGGAAAAUGUGGAUGGAUUAAAAAAAGGUGCUGCUCAAACGAUAGCGAUGAGUGUAGACAAGGGUAA